RNAcentral lists this non-coding RNA (48 nucleotides) under Trichobilharzia regenti. The record is from RNAcentral. Lineage: Eukaryota; Metazoa; Platyhelminthes; Trematoda; Strigeidida; Schistosomatidae.
AUUCAAAUGAUGAGUCCCAAAUAGGACGAAAUGCGCAUUAUCCUGUAU